UAGCAUAUCAAUAAGCGGAGGAAAAGAAACCAACAGGGAUUGCCCUAGUAACGGCGAGUGAAGCGGCAACAGCUCAAAUUUGAAAUCUGGCCUCACGGUCCGAAUUGUAAUUUGUAGAGGAUGUUUCUGGCGACGUGUCUUCCGAGUUCCCUGGAACGGGACGCCAUAGAGGGUGAGAGCCCCGUCCGGUCGUACACCUAGCCUCUGUGAAACUCCUUCGACGAGUCGAGUAGUUUGGGAAUGCUGCUCUAAAUGGGAGGUAUACGUCUUCUAAAGCUAAAUACCGGCCAGAGACCGAUAGCGCACAAGUAGAGUGAUCGAAAGAUGAAAAGCACUUUGAAAAGAGGGUUAAAUAGUACGUGAAAUUGCUGAAAGGGAAGCGCUUAUGACCAGACUUGGGCUCGGUGAAUCAUCCGGCGUUCUCGCCGGUGCACUUUGCCGUCCCAGGCCAGCAUCAGUUCGCGCCGGGGGAUAAAGGUUUCGGGAAUGUAGCUCCUUCGGGAGUGUUAUAGCCCGUUGCGUAAUACCCUGGCGUGGACUGAGGUCCGCGCUCUGCAAGGAUGCUGGCGUAAUGGUCAUCAGUGACCCGUCUUGAAACACGGACCAAGGAGUCGUCUUCGUAUGCGAGUGUUCGGGUGUCAAACCCCUACGCGUAAUGAAAGUGAACGUAGGAGAGAGCUUCGGCGCAUCUCCGACCGAUCCUGAUGUUCUCGGAUGGAUUUGAGUAAGAGCAUACGGGGCCCGGACCCGAAAGAAGGUGAACUAUGCCUGUAUAGGGUGAAGCCAGAGGAAACUCUGGUGGAGGCUCGCAGCGGUUCUGACGUGCAAAUCGAAUCGUCAAAUAUGGGCAUGGGGGCGAAAGACUAAUCGAAUCUUCUAGUAGCUGGUUUUCCGCCGAAGUUUCCCUUC
RNAcentral lists this ribosomal RNA (909 nucleotides) under Acremonium potronii. RNAcentral's name for it is "LSU rRNA". It matches the Rfam family "Eukaryotic large subunit ribosomal RNA", at positions 36 to 975 of the family's 3401-position model. The record is from RNAcentral. Lineage: Eukaryota; Fungi; Ascomycota; Sordariomycetes; Hypocreales; Bionectriaceae.